CCCGCCCCCAGGGUUGGUUUUUCCCAGCUGCGGAGGCUGGGCCAGGGGCUGGGGUGCUAGGAGAGUCGGCGCCGGCUGCGCGGAGCCGGGAAGUGGCCGCGACUCCGGUGAGACUCAGAGUUGUCUCUGGAGGUGACCCGCGCGGAGGUCCUGAAGCGGAUCGAGCGCGAGGCGCCAACAAAAGAGGCAAGAGGGUGCCACCGGGGGGCGGCGGCCGGAAGAGGAGCGGGAGGAAGAGCUGAGCCUCCGGACUCGCCGGCAAUCUUCAUGCUCUCACUUUGCUCUCAGCAAGAACACCUGGGAUUCUUCAGCCUUGCCAUGUGUGGAGAACAGCCCAAAAAUAGGCCUGCGAACACUUCCAAGAUGGAUUGCUACUCUUUUCGAACAUCAACAACAAAAGAAAUCAACAUACAACAUACUAACCUCCAUCACUACUGAUUGCAGUCACUUUGAAGAUUAAUAUAAUGUGAUAUUACCAUGUAAUGUUACUCAAAAAGACUUAAUGCAAUUGCUGUAAGAAAAUAAAAAUUAAAUAACAAUAAAAUGUUCUAAUUAUGAUCAAGGCACCUUGUAAGUGAAAAUGACUUUAGAAGUGAAAGAUCCACCUUUUAGGAAGUCUCAGUGUAAGCACACCAUGAAUUCAAGUUAAUUUUUUCUUAUAUGUAUUUUGAAGCAAUAUAGGGUGAGAAAUUUCUGUGUAACUAUUAUAUUCACAAAUAAAU
RNAcentral lists this long non-coding RNA (722 nucleotides) under Suricata suricatta (meerkat). RNAcentral's name for it is "lncRNA (ENSSSUG00005005460.1)". Lineage: Eukaryota; Metazoa; Chordata; Mammalia; Carnivora; Herpestidae. The record is from RNAcentral.